UAGAUACUGUGAGGUACCAUGAGGUAUCAAAAUUUACACUAAAAUUUUGGUACCUCAUGGUACCUCCUUA
RNAcentral lists this unclassified non-coding RNA (70 nucleotides) under Oryza sativa (Asian cultivated rice). RNAcentral describes it as "partial microRNA MIR440b-21-as precursor". The record is from RNAcentral. Lineage: Eukaryota; Viridiplantae; Streptophyta; Magnoliopsida; Poales; Poaceae.